GAUUAGCGGCGGACGGGUGAGUAACACGUGGGCAACCUGCCUAUAAGACUGGGAUAACUUCGGGAAACCGGAGCUAAUACCGGAUACGUUCUUUUCUCGCAUGAGAGAAGAUGGAAAGACGGUUUACGCUGUCACUUAUAGAUGGGCCCGCGGCGCAUUAGCUAGUUGGUGAGGUAAUGGCUCACCAAGGCGACGAUGCGUAGCCGACCUGAGAGGGUGAUCGGCCACACUGGGACUGAGACACGGCCCAGACUCCUACGGGAGGCAGCAGUAGGGAAUCUUCCGCAAUGGACGAAAGUCUGACGGAGCAACGCCGCGUGAACGAAGAAGGCCUUCGGGUCGUAAAGUUCUGUUGUUAGGGAAGAACAAGUACCAGAGUAACUGCUGGUACCUUGACGGUACCUAACCAGAAAGCCACGGCUAACUACGUGCCAGCAGCCGCGGUAAUACGUAGGUGGCAAGCGUUGUCCGGAAUUAUUGGGCGUAAAGCGCGCGCAGGUUACCAGGUCUUGACAUCCUCUGACAACCCUAGAGAUAGGGCUUUCCCCUUCGGGGGACAGAGUGACAGGUGGUGCAUGGUUGUCGUCAGCUCGUGUCGUGAGAUGUUGGGUUAAGUCCCGCAACGAGCGCAACCCUUGAUCUUAGUUGCCAGCAUUCAGUUGGGCACUCUAAGGUGACUGCCGGUGACAAACCGGAGGAAGGUGGGGAUGACGUCAAAUCAUCAUGCCCCUUAUGACCUGGGCUACACACGUGCUACAAUGGAUGGUACAAAGGGCUGCAAACCUGCGAAGGUAAGCGAAUCCCAUAAAGCCAUUCUCAGUUCGGAUUGCAGGCUGCAACUCGCCUGCAUGAAGCCGGAAUCGCUAGUAAUCGCGGAUCAGCAUGCCGCGGUGAAUACGUUCCCGGGCCUUGUACACACCGCCCGUCACA
Molecule: ribosomal RNA, 930 nt
Filed under: Peribacillus simplex
Lineage: Bacteria; Bacillati; Bacillota; Bacilli; Caryophanales; Bacillaceae
Description: bacterial SSU rRNA
Rfam family: Bacterial small subunit ribosomal RNA
Source: RNAcentral